RNAcentral lists this non-coding RNA (970 nucleotides) under Phalaropus tricolor (Wilson's phalarope). RNAcentral describes it as "12S ribosomal RNA". It matches the Rfam family "Bacterial small subunit ribosomal RNA". Lineage: Eukaryota; Metazoa; Chordata; Aves; Charadriiformes; Scolopacidae. The record is from RNAcentral.
AAAGACUUAGUCCUAACCUUACCGUUAAUUUUUGCUAAAUAUAUACAUGCAAGUAUCUGCGCCCCAGUGUAAAUGCCCUUGAUAUCUUAUUAAGAAAAAAGGAGCGGGUAUCAGGCACACUCAAACCGUAGCCCAAGACACCUUGCUUAGCCACACCCCCACGGGUACUCAGCAGUAAUUAACAUUAAGCAAUAAGUGAAAACUUGACUUAGUUAUAGCAACUCCAGGGUUGGUAAAUCUUGUGCCAGCCACCGCGGUCACACAAGAGACCCAAAUUAACUGUAUGCGGCGUAAAGAGUGGUAGUAUGUUAUCACAAUGACUAAGACCAAAGUGCAACUAAGCUGUCAUAAGCCCAAGAUGCAUCUAAGACCCCCAAAAAAGAUCUUAGCGCCCCUGAUUAAUUUAACACCACGAAAGCUGAGGCACAAACUGGGAUUAGAUACCCCACUAUGCUUAGCCCUAAAUCUUGAUGCUUUCUAGUACUAAAGCAUCCGCCUGAGAACUACGAGCACAAACGCUUAAAACUCUAAGGACUUGGCGGUGCCCUAAACCCACCUAGAGGAGCCUGUUCUAUAAUCGAUAACCCACGUUACACCCGACCGCCUCUUGCCACAAAACAGCCUACAUACCGCCGUCGCCAGCUCACCUUUCCUGAGAGUCCAAUAGUGAGCACAAUAGCCCAAACCCGCUAACAAGACAGGUCGAGGUAUAGCCCAUGGGGCGGAAGAAAUGGGCUACAUUUUCUAAAAUAGAAAACCCACGAAAGGGGGCAUGAAAUUUGCCCCCCGAAGGCGGAUUUAGCAGUAAAGGGGGACAAUAUAAGCUCCCUUUAAGUCGGCCCUGGGGCACGUACAUACCGCCCGUCACCCUCCUCACAAGCUUUAACCCUGCAAUAAAUAAUACAACUAUCAGCUGAAGAUGAGGUAAGUCGUAACAAGGUAAGUGUACCGGAAGGUGCACUUAGUAUAC